Molecule: long non-coding RNA, 604 nt
Filed under: Fukomys damarensis (Damara mole-rat)
Lineage: Eukaryota; Metazoa; Chordata; Mammalia; Rodentia; Bathyergidae
Description: lncRNA (ENSFDAG00000032295.1)
Source: RNAcentral
GGACUCAGAGGGUUCUAGAAUCCUGAGGGCAGAGAAGUGGACUUGGGAACAUCACAGAAGUGACCCCGACCGAGUCCCUGGAAUGUGUGACCCUCUCUCUCCUUGUUCUGUGUAGACAUUUGUCUCAUGGAGGCCUAAGAGGGUGACUCCAUCCCUUCCAAUUUCCGGGCAAGGAACUGAGCCUGGGGAGGUCAGGGAGCUCGAAGGCGGAGCAAGCUGGGAACAUGGACUCUACACUCAGUGCUUGGCCCUUGGUACUUGGCCCUCUGCAGAGCCGGUGUAGAGGAGAAGAUCAGAGGUGCACAGAGGAAAUGCUUUCACAUCCGGGAGCCACAGUCUGCAGAAUCUGCGGCAUGCCCAAGACAACAGAGGGUACUCAAGGGAAAGCAGCACGUGGUGCCAGGCACACCCAGGACAGCUGUGCCCAAGGAUAGGACGUCCUUUUCCCCACCUCCUCAGCCUCCCUCCUCCCAGCGGGCGUGCAUAGUCUAUGCUGGUGCAAGGACUGAUCCUUUGCAGCUUGCAAGUUGCUGUCUCCCUUGGAGCAGACAGGAGGGCGCCCUGGGACUGUUAGAGAUCGCAAGCUUUGAUAACCUGCCCCCCU